This 400-nucleotide ribosomal RNA is filed under the name uncultured archaeon. RNAcentral describes it as "bacterial SSU rRNA". It matches the Rfam family "Archaeal small subunit ribosomal RNA", at positions 604 to 997 of the family's 1478-position model. The record is from RNAcentral.
AGAGGUAAGAGGUACUACAGGGGUAGGAGUGAAAUCUUGUAAGUCCCCUGUGGGGACCACCUGGUGGCGAAGGCGUCUUACCAGAACGGGUUCGACGGUGAGGGACGAAAGCUGGGGGCACGAACCGGAUUAGAUACCCGGGUAGUCCCAGCCGUAAACGAUGCUCGCUAGGUGUCAGGCAUGGCGCGACCGUGUCUGGUGCCGCAGGGAAGCCGUGAAGCGAGCCACCUGGGAAGUACGGCCGCGAAGGCUGAAACUUAAAGGAAUUGGCGGGGGAGCACAACAACGGGUGGAAGCCUGCGGUUUAAUUGGACUCAACGCCGGACAACUCACCGGGGGCGACAGCAAUAUGUAGGCCAAGCUGAAGACUUUGCCUGAAUCGCUGAGGAGUGGUGCAUGG